AGAAAAGCAAAGACGGAAAGAGUAGACUAAUGGAAACAUACAGAGAGAAGGACGUUCGGUGAGAGUUCUUUAUGAAGGAAGUUAGACGAAAACCAUUCCAGAGCUGUAUUGCUGAAAUUAGUAAGCAUUACCGUAAGCCUGCGUUAAAGGAUAGGAUUUGUUUGAAUCUGAAGUGAAAAGUUAAGGUGGAACCGUGCAGUAGUAUACUUGCACCCUUACG
RNAcentral lists this non-coding RNA (220 nucleotides) under Anaerosporobacter mobilis. Its description in RNAcentral is "T-box sequence". It matches the Rfam family "T-box leader". From Rfam's summary of the family: Uncharged tRNA acts as the effector for transcription antitermination of genes in the T-box leader family. The record is from RNAcentral. Lineage: Bacteria; Bacillati; Bacillota; Clostridia; Lachnospirales; Lachnospiraceae.